GCCUGGCUGGCUCAGUCAGUGGAGCGUGGGACUCUUGAUCUCAGAGUCGUGGGCUCGAGCCCCACGUUGAAUG
This 73-nucleotide transfer RNA is filed under the name Ailuropoda melanoleuca (giant panda). It matches the Rfam family "tRNA". From Rfam's summary of the family: Transfer RNA (tRNA) molecules are approximately 80 nucleotides in length. Their secondary structure includes four short double-helical elements and three loops (D, anti-codon, and T loops). Lineage: Eukaryota; Metazoa; Chordata; Mammalia; Carnivora; Ursidae. The record is from Rfam by way of RNAcentral.